UCCAAAUACCUCCUAGAAAAGAAGUUAGUUAUGGUAGAGGGAGUGAUGCUGGACUUGGUGUUAAGAACUUCAGGAAGCUUAGAAAUUUCCAUGGAAAUAGAAGAGGCGUACCUGAAAAGCAGGUAGAGCAGAGGAGCAAGGGGAAUCGAAGAAGAGCAGAGAACAGGAGAAGGCAAGCGUUCCGAGAAGACAGAGAAAAUUCAAAAGGCAAAGCAGUGAUGAGACGAAGAGUGGCUCUGAACAGUUUUGUCCUGGGGCGGCGCGGUCAUUAUUACACUCGAAGUUUACCCCCUCAUCAGUCGGACAAUAACUGACGAGAAGGUAAAGGGGCAAUUGAUGACCGCUGGAUUUCUCCACCCCGGUCAGGGGCCAAGCCCUCGAUCACGGCCCAUCGCUCGGAGGCCCACGCGAUCCCAAUACAAAUAGGUCCAGCCCGUUCGAACCUUGAUACAGGGUCCAUAUGGAUUUCUCAACCAGGCCGACCCAGUUC
This 490-nucleotide long non-coding RNA is filed under the name Manihot esculenta (cassava). RNAcentral's name for it is "long non-coding RNA (MESC_LNC011698)". The record is from RNAcentral. Lineage: Eukaryota; Viridiplantae; Streptophyta; Magnoliopsida; Malpighiales; Euphorbiaceae.